AACGAACGCUGGCGGCGUGCCUAACACAUGCAAGUCGUGCGAGAAAGUUCCUUCGGGAGCGAGUAAAGCGGCGCACGGGUGAGUAACACGUAGGUAACCUGCCCCCCAGUCUGGAACAACUAGAGGAAACUCUAGCUAAUGCCGGAUGAGACCACGAUCCCUUCGGGGGUUGCGGCCAAAGAUGGCCUCUACUUGUAAGCUAUCGCUGAGGGAUGGGCCUGCGGGCCAUUAGCUUGUUGGUGAGGUAACGGCUCACCAAGGCUGUGAUGGCUAGCUGGUCUGAGAGGAUGACCAGCCACACUGGGACUGAGACACGGCCCAGACUCUACGGAGCAGCAGUGGGGAAUAUUGCGCAAUGGGCGAAAGCCUGACGCAG
Molecule: ribosomal RNA, 376 nt
Filed under: uncultured bacterium
Lineage: Bacteria
Description: bacterial SSU rRNA
Rfam family: Bacterial small subunit ribosomal RNA
Source: RNAcentral